UCCUGGCUCAGGACGAACGCUGGCGGCGUGCCUAAUACAUGCAAGUCGAACGAAGCUUUCUUUCACCGAAUGCUUGCAUUCACCGAAAGAAGCUUAGUGGCGAACGGGUGAGUAACACGUAGGCAACCUGCCCAAAAGAGGGGGAUAACACUUGGAAACAGGUGCUAAUACCGCAUAACCAUGAACACCGCAUGAUGUUCAUGUAAAAGACGGCUUUUGCUGCCACUUUUGGAUGGGCCUGCGGCGUAUUAACUUGUUGGUGGGGUAACGGCCUACCAAGGUGAUGAUACGUAGCCGAACUGAGAGGUUGAUCGGCCACAUUGGGACUGAGACACGGCCCAAACUCCUACGGGAGGCAGCAGUAGGGAAUCUUCCACAAUGGACGAAAGUCUGAUGGAGCAACGCCGCGUGAAUGAAGAAGGCCUUCGGGUCGUAAAAUUCUGUUGUCAGAGAAGAACGUGCGUGAGAGUAACUGUUCACGUAUUGACGGUAUCUGACCAGAAAGCCACGGCUAACUACGUGCCAGCAGCCGCGGUAAUACGUAGGUGGCAAGCGUUGUCCGGAUUUAUUGGGCGUAAAGGGAACGCAGGCGGUCUUUUAAGUCUGAUGUGAAAGCCUUCGGCUUAACCGAAGUAGUGCAUUGGAAACUGGAAGACUUGAGUGCAGAAGAGGAGAGUGGAACUCCAUGUGUAGCGGUGAAAUGCGUAGAUAUAGGGAAGAACACCAGUGGCGAAAGCGGCUCUCUGGUCUGUAACUGACGCUGAGGUUCGAAAGCGUGGGUAGCAAACAGGAUUAGAUACCCUGGUAGUCCACGCCGUAAACGAUGAGUGCUAAGUGUUGGAGGGUUUCCGCCCUUCAGUGCUGCAGCUAACGCAUUAAGCACUCCGCCUGGGGAGUACGGUCGCAAGACUGCAACUCAAAGGAAUUGACGG
Molecule: ribosomal RNA, 932 nt
Filed under: uncultured Bacillota bacterium
Lineage: Bacteria; Bacillati; Bacillota
Description: bacterial SSU rRNA
Rfam family: Bacterial small subunit ribosomal RNA
Source: RNAcentral